This 120-nucleotide ribosomal RNA is filed under the name Pteropus alecto (black flying fox). The record is from RNAcentral. Lineage: Eukaryota; Metazoa; Chordata; Mammalia; Chiroptera; Pteropodidae.
GCCUACAGCCAUGCUCCCCGGAACAAGCCCCAUGCCAUCUGAUCUUGGAAGCUAAGCAGGGUGGGGCCUGGUUAGUUCUUGGGAUGGGAGACCACCUAGGAAGACCAGGAGCUGUGGGCC